CGGUGAUGAUAGCAUGCAGAUCUGGCUUGCGGGAUUCAAAGAUGAAUUUGUUUCGGACCUUCCAUAAGCUCCACAAGACGCCAGCUAUUAACUCCACCGUUGCUACGAAGAAGGAAUAGGUGUUCCGUGGUUUUCGGGCAUUGAUGACAGAAGGGACAGAGGGGGUCAGGGUGUUUAGUUUCCAAAUGUUAAUCCAGAGAGAUUUGGGAAUUUGGUAAGAUUGAGGAAGCUUGAUUGGGGUUCUGUUGUUGUGUUGCUGGCUGCAUGCUGUGGUAGGCCUCUUUGACUGUGUAUCGUCCUGUUUUACUCCCCAGCCCAUAUAAGUGAAUCUUCCUUUGGAUUUGUGCUCAGCUGCAUUGCCUUGAUCUCCUUUGCAAUUUGCUCUCCGAACAGAUUAUUCACUUUAUGUUCAUCCCGUCUCAUGUUC
Rhodamnia argentea is the source of this 427-nucleotide long non-coding RNA. RefSeq lists it as uncharacterized. Lineage: Eukaryota; Viridiplantae; Streptophyta; Magnoliopsida; Myrtales; Myrtaceae. The transcript has 3 exons. The record is from RefSeq and is a predicted model, not a curated record.